This 253-nucleotide ribosomal RNA is filed under the name uncultured bacterium. Its description in RNAcentral is "partial 16S ribosomal RNA". It matches the Rfam family "Bacterial small subunit ribosomal RNA", at positions 524 to 776 of the family's 1533-position model. The record is from RNAcentral.
GACGAAGGGGGCUAGCGUUGCUCGGAAUCACUGGGCGUAAAGCGCACGUAGGCGGCUUUUUAAGUCAGGGGUGAAAUCCUGGAGCUCAACUCCAGAACUGCCUUUGAUACUGGGAAGCUUGAGUCCGGAAGAGGUGAGUGGAACUCCGAGUGUAGAGGUGAAAUUCGUAGAUAUUCGGAAGAACACCAGUGGCGAAGGCGGCUCACUGGUCCGGUACUGACGCUGAGGUGCGAAAGCGUGGGGAGCAAACAGG